RNAcentral lists this ribosomal RNA (81 nucleotides) under Cordyceps militaris. Its description in RNAcentral is "partial 26S ribosomal RNA". It matches the Rfam family "Eukaryotic large subunit ribosomal RNA", at positions 1 to 81 of the family's 3401-position model. Lineage: Eukaryota; Fungi; Ascomycota; Sordariomycetes; Hypocreales; Cordycipitaceae. The record is from RNAcentral.
UUGACCUCGGAUCAGGUAGGACUACCCGCUGAACUUAAGCAUAUCAAUAAGCGGAAAAAWGAAACCAACAGGGAUUGCCCC